RNAcentral lists this ribosomal RNA (590 nucleotides) under uncultured bacterium. RNAcentral's name for it is "bacterial SSU rRNA". It matches the Rfam family "Bacterial small subunit ribosomal RNA", at positions 334 to 917 of the family's 1533-position model. The record is from RNAcentral.
UACUCCUACGGGAGGCAGCAGUGGGGAAUUUUGGACAAUGGGGGAAACCCUGAUCCAGCCAUCCCGCGUGUGCGAUGAAGGCCUUCGGGUUGUAAAGCACUUUUGGCAGGAAAGAAACGUCGCGGGUUAAUACCCCGCGAAACUGACGGUACCUGCAGAAUAAGCACCGGCUAACUACGUGCCAGCAGCCGCGGUAAUACGUAGGGUGCAAGCGUUAAUCGGAAUUACUGGGCGUAAAGCGUGCGCAGGCGGUUCGGAAAGAAAGAUGUGAAAUCCCAGAGCUUAACUUUGGAACUGCAUUUUUAACUACCGGGCUAGAGUGUGUCAGAGGGAGGUGGAAUUCCGCGUGUAGCAGUGAAAUGCGUAGAUAUGCGGAGGAACACCGAUGGCGAAGGCAGCCUCCUGGGAUAACACUGACGCUCAUGCACGAAAGCGUGGGGAGCAAACAGGAUUAGAUACCCUGGUAGUCCACGCCCUAAACGAUGUCAACUAGCUGUUGGGGCCUUCGGGCCUUGGUAGCGCAGCUAACGCGUGAAGUUGACCGCCUGGGGAGUACGGUCGCAAGAUUAAAACUCAAAUGAAUUGACGGA